Molecule: non-coding RNA, 746 nt
Organism: Paramormyrops kingsleyae
Lineage: Eukaryota; Metazoa; Chordata; Actinopteri; Osteoglossiformes; Mormyridae
Source: RefSeq, a predicted model, not a curated record
CUUUGCACACCCGCGCACGAAAUAAUCAGUUGUGUGUACUUAUUGUAAUGUUAGCGAAAACGACGUUAGAAUUGUAUAUUGUAAACACGGCACUGGUAACAUUCCAGGAGGAGGAUUUACAAGUCAGUCCUGCUACAACGGAACGAAUGUGUUCCUGACAUGCCCUUCGCUAAAAUCACGUACUAAUUAAGAUACACAUAUCCAAUGGCGAAAAGCGGGGUUAGGGGACUGCGAUUCCAAACUCAGUAACUUAUGGAAAACAAAAUGAAUUAAAUAAUAAAAAACAGUGAUACCUGCAGUGGCCAGUAAUGUGGGGUUGUUUACGGACUGCAGCCUUUGCUGAGACGUCAGGAGUAGAGAUAGGAACCCCUCUCCCCACACCUCAUGAGACUCAAGACUGCACUGCCUCAUGGGUAGCACCAAGGCCAUCAUCUCCAGAUGCUACAAGACGGACCCCUGGGCAGGACCACCAGGACAUAGGUCCUGCAGGUCAUGUGACAGAUCCAGCUCACUCUCGCAGUGCCUGGGCGUGAAGCGGAAGCGGCGCACGCGGUGCACCUCCACGAAGUCCAGAUCAAACUAAGGAGACCCAGCACGCGAUACCCAGCCCCUUGAACACCCUGAGCUUCCCUGAUGACCCCCCCCCCAUCUUCAGGCACCACCCACCUGGUCAUCCUUGCUGGUGUGACGCAGCAGAUGCCGCAGGAAGUUGAGGCGGGAGCACUUGCGGACGAGGAUGAGGUCGG